Molecule: non-coding RNA, 94 nt
Organism: Acanthosepion pharaonis
Lineage: Eukaryota; Metazoa; Mollusca; Cephalopoda; Sepiida; Sepiidae
Source: the annotation of a GenBank genome assembly
GUUGAAAUACCGGUUCCCGUACGAUCACCAAAGUUAAGAAAUGUCGAGCGUGAUCAUUACCAAGAUGAGUGACUACUUGAGAAUAUCAGGUGCU